Long non-coding RNA from Panicum virgatum (switchgrass), 154 nucleotides. RefSeq lists it as uncharacterized. NCBI's taxonomy places the organism in Eukaryota, Viridiplantae, Streptophyta, Magnoliopsida, Poales, Poaceae. The transcript is spliced from 2 exons. The record is from RefSeq and is a predicted model, not a curated record.
GCUUUACUACAAUACAAAGAGAUGGUACACAAGAAGUUGACAUCACCGGGCUGCAGAGUCAACAAAAUGAUGAUGAAAUACAAGUUCAAAGCAAGGAGAAAGGUAUCCCUCAAGGCAAAGAAGACAACAAAGAUGGUGAUGACAAAGAAGAAGA